This 82-nucleotide transfer RNA is filed under the name Coemansia spiralis. RNAcentral describes it as "tRNA-Ser". It matches the Rfam family "tRNA". From Rfam's summary of the family: Transfer RNA (tRNA) molecules are approximately 80 nucleotides in length. The record is from RNAcentral. RNAcentral also lists the same sequence under 2 other names. Lineage: Eukaryota; Fungi; Kickxellomycota; Kickxellomycetes; Kickxellales; Kickxellaceae.
GUCAGUAUGGCCGAGUGGUUAAGGCGCCGGACUUGAAAUCCUGUGGGCGUUGCCCGCGCAGGUUCAAAUCCUGCUGCUGACG